RNAcentral lists this ribosomal RNA (543 nucleotides) under uncultured bacterium. RNAcentral describes it as "partial 16S ribosomal RNA". It matches the Rfam family "Bacterial small subunit ribosomal RNA", at positions 355 to 889 of the family's 1533-position model. The record is from RNAcentral.
UGGGGAAUUUUGGACAAUGGGGGCAACCCUGAUCCAGCCAUCCCGCGUGUGCGAUGAAGGCCUUCGGGUUGUAAAGCACUUUUGGCAGGGAAGAAACAGCCUGGGAUAAUACCCCGGGCGACUGACGGUACCUGCAGAAUAAGCACCGGCUAACUACGUGCCGGCAGCCGCGGUAAUACGUAGGGUGCAAGCGUUAAUCGGAAUUACUGGGCGUAAAGCGUGCGCAGGCGGUUCGGAAAGAAAGGUGUGAAAUCCCAGGGCUUAACCUUGGAACUGCACUUUUAACUACCGAGCUAGAGUACGUCAGAGGGGGGUAGAAUUCCACGUGUAGCAGUGAAAUGCGUAGAGAUGUGGAGGAAUACCGAUGGCGAAGGCAGCCCCCUGGGAUGAUACUGACGCUCAUGCACGAAAGCGUGGGGAGCAAACAGGAUUAGAUACCCUGGUAGUCCACGCCCUAAACGAUGUCAACUAGCUGUUGGGGUUUUAUUAACCUUAGUAGCGCAGCUAACGCGUGAAGUUGACCGCCUGGGGGAGUACGGUCGC